AGAGUUUGAUCAUGGCUCGGGAUGAACGCUAGCGGCAGGCUUAACACAUGCAAGUCGAGGGGUAUAGGUUUUCGGACCUAGAGACCGGCGCACGGGUGCGUAACGCGUAUGCAAUCUACCUUUUACAGAGGGAUAGCCCAGAGAAAUUUGGAUUAAUACCUCAUAGUAUAGCUGAACCGCAUGGUUCUACUAUUAAAGUCACAACGGUAAAAGAUGAGCAUGCGUCCCAUUAGCUUGUUGGUAAGGUAACGGCUUACCAAGGCUACGAUGGGUAGGGGUCCUGAGAGGGAGAUCCCCCACACUGGUACUGAGACACGGACCAGACUCCUACGGGAGGCAGCAGUGAGGAAUAUUGGUCAAUGGACGCAAGUCUGAACCAGCCAUGCCGCGUGCAGGAUGACGGUCCUAUGGAUUGUAAACUGCUUUUGCACAGGAAGAAACAACUCUACGUGUAGAGUCUUGACGGUACUGUGAGAAUAAGGAUCGGCUAACUCCGUGCCAGCAGCCGCGGUAAUACGGAGGAUCCAAGCGUUAUCCGGAAUCAUUGGGUUUAAAGGGUCCGUAGGCGGUUUAGUAAGUCAGUGGUGAAAGCCCAUCGCUCAACGGUGGAACGGCCAUUGAUACUGCUAGACUUGAAUUAUUAGGAAGUAACUAGAAUAUGUAGUGUAGCGGUGAAAUGCUUAGAGAUUACAUGGAAUACCAAUUGCGAAGGCAGGUUACUACUAAUGGAUUGACGCUGAUGGACGAAAGCGUGGGUAGCGAACAGGAUUAGAUACCCUGGUAGUCCACGCCGUAAACGAUGGAUACUAGCUGUUGGAAGCAAUUUCAGUGGCUAAGCGAAAGUGAUAAGUAUCCCACCUGGGGAGUACGUUCGCAAGAAUGAAACUCAAAGGAAUUGACGGGGGCCCGCACAAGCGGUGGAGCAUGUGGUUCAAUUCGAUGAUACGCGAGGAACCUUACCAAGGCUUAAAUGUAGAUUGACCGGUUUGGAAACAGACUUUUCGCAAGACAAUUUACAAGGUGCUGCAUGGUUGUCGUCAGCUCGUGCCGUGAGGUGUCAGGUUAAGUCCUAUAACGAGCGCAACCCCUGUUGUUAGUUGCCAGCGAGUCAUGUCGGGAACUCUAACAAGACUGCCAGUGUAAACUGUGAGGAAGGUGGGGAUGACGUCAAAUCAUCACGGCCCUUACGCCUUGGGCUACACACGUGCUACAAUGGCCGGUACAGAGAGCAGCCACUGGGCGACCAGGAGCGAAUCUAUAAAACCGGUCACAGUUCGGAUCGGAGUCUGCAACUCGACUCCGUGAAGCUGGAAUCGCUAGUAAUCGGAUAUCAGCCAUGAUCCGGUGAAUACGUUCCCGGGCCUUGUACACACCGCCCGUCAAGCCAUGGAAGCUGGGGGUGCCUGAAGUCGGUGACCGCAAGGAGCUGCCUAGGGUAAAACUGGUAACUAGGGCUAAGUCGUAACAAGGUA
RNAcentral lists this ribosomal RNA (1472 nucleotides) under metagenome. RNAcentral describes it as "bacterial SSU rRNA". It matches the Rfam family "Bacterial small subunit ribosomal RNA". The record is from RNAcentral.